RNAcentral lists this ribosomal RNA (465 nucleotides) under Vreelandella stevensii. Its description in RNAcentral is "partial 16S ribosomal RNA". It matches the Rfam family "Bacterial small subunit ribosomal RNA", at positions 338 to 795 of the family's 1533-position model. Lineage: Bacteria; Pseudomonadati; Pseudomonadota; Gammaproteobacteria; Oceanospirillales; Halomonadaceae. The record is from RNAcentral.
CCUACGGGCGGCUGCAGUGGGGAAUAUUGGACAAUGGGGGCAACCCUGAUCCAGCCAUGCCGCGUGUGUGAAGAAGGCCCUCGGGUUGUAAAGCACUUUCAGUGAGGAAGAACGCCUGGUGGUUAAUACCCAUCAGGAAAGACAUCACUCACAGAAGAAGCACCGGCUAACUCCGUGCCAGCAGCCGCGGUAAUACGGAGGGUGCGAGCGUUAAUCGGAAUUACUGGGCGUAAAGCGCGCGUAGGUGGCUUGAUAAGCCGGUUGUGAAAGCCCCGGGCUCAACCUGGGAACGGCAUCCGGAACUGUCAAGCUAGAGUGCAGGAGAGGAAGGUAGAAUUCCCGGUGUAGCGGUGAAAUGCGUAGAGAUCGGGAGGAAUACCAGUGGCGAAGGCGACCUUCUGGACUGACACUGACACUGAGGUGCGAAAGCGUGGGUAGCAAACAGGAUUAGAUACCCUAGUAGUC